CUUAGUGGCGAACGGGUGAGUAACGCGUGAGUAACCUGCCCUGGAGUGGGGGGACAACAGUUGGAAACGACUGCUAAUACCGCAUAAGCCCACGGAUCCGCAUGGAUCUGCGGGAAAAGGAUUUAUUUGCUUCAGGAUGGACUCGCGUCCAAUUAGCUAGUUGGUGAGGUAACGGCCCACCAAGGCGACGAUUGGUAGCCGGACUGAGAGGUUGAACGGCCACAUUGGGACUGAGACACGGCCCAGACUCCUACGGGAGGCAGAUG
RNAcentral lists this ribosomal RNA (266 nucleotides) under uncultured bacterium. RNAcentral describes it as "partial 16S ribosomal RNA". It matches the Rfam family "Bacterial small subunit ribosomal RNA", at positions 91 to 351 of the family's 1533-position model. The record is from RNAcentral.